RNAcentral lists this long non-coding RNA (350 nucleotides) under Lactuca sativa (garden lettuce). RNAcentral's name for it is "long non-coding RNA (LSAT_LNC006507)". The record is from RNAcentral. Lineage: Eukaryota; Viridiplantae; Streptophyta; Magnoliopsida; Asterales; Asteraceae.
AGUUGAAUCAGAAAUUGGAUUCUCUAACAAAAAAAUCAUCAGGUUCGAUUGGGAAAUCGGAAAUUGAUGAUGUAAUUACGAAAAUGCCAUUGUCAACGUCGAAGAUGCCGAGAUUUAUGAAGCCCACAAUCUGUAGUACACGAAAAUCAGGAACAGGUUAUCAGAAUUCGUAUAAGAAAGAAAUUAGACAUGAAAGAAGGAAGAAACAAUUACCGAUAUCUCGGGCAGAAUCUGUGAGUUUUCCUAUAAAGGGCCUGACCGAAAGCUACUCGGGCAGCAGUAUCUCAAGAGCAAGCUGCUUGGUGGAUUUGAAUGAUACAGAAUUCAGCCAUGAAACAUCACAAUGUAGC